Molecule: ribosomal RNA, 376 nt
Filed under: uncultured bacterium
Lineage: Bacteria
Description: bacterial SSU rRNA
Rfam family: Bacterial small subunit ribosomal RNA
Source: RNAcentral
UACGGGGGGGGCAAGCGUUGUUCGGAAUUACUGGGCGUAAAGGGCUCGUAGGUGGCCAACUAAGUCAGACGUGAAAUCCCUCGGCUUAACCGGGGAACUGCGUCUGAUACUGGAUGGCUUGAGUUUGGGAGAGGGACGCGGAAUUCCAGGUGUAGCGGUGAAAUGCGUAGAUAUCUGGAGGAACACCGGUGGCGAAGGCGGCGUCCUGGACCAACACUGACACUGAUGAGCGAAAGCCAGGGGAGCAAACGGGAUUAGAUACCCCGGUAGUCCUGGCCCUAAACGAUGAAUGCUUGGUGUGGCGGGUAUCGAUCCCUGCCGUGCCGAAGCUAACGCAUUAAGCAUUCCGCCUGGGGAGUACGGUCGCAAGGCUGAA